CCAAAAGAUAAUCUUUCAAAAUCGAAAGAUCUUUUCCUUUGUGCUGGCUUUGACCGUAUGUAAUUUUGGGACUUAAACAUGGUAGCUUUUUUGGUUACCGGUCCCAAAAACAAUUAUAUCAUCCUUAUGAAAACUUUACUGAACAACUAAACAAUGAUUUUAAUAAUCUGUUUAAAA
Molecule: unclassified non-coding RNA, 177 nt
Filed under: uncultured Umbelopsis
Lineage: Eukaryota; Fungi; Mucoromycota; Umbelopsidomycetes; Umbelopsidales; Umbelopsidaceae
Description: sequence contains ITS1
Source: RNAcentral